GACGAGGUGGCCGAGUGGUUAAGGCGAUGGAUUGCUAAUCCAUUGUGCUCUGCACGCGUGGGUUCGAAUCCUACCCUCGUCG
Canis lupus familiaris (dog) is the source of this 82-nucleotide non-coding RNA. NCBI's taxonomy places the organism in Eukaryota, Metazoa, Chordata, Mammalia, Carnivora, Canidae. The record is from Rfam.